This 468-nucleotide ribosomal RNA is filed under the name uncultured bacterium. RNAcentral describes it as "partial 16S ribosomal RNA". It matches the Rfam family "Bacterial small subunit ribosomal RNA", at positions 28 to 507 of the family's 1533-position model. The record is from RNAcentral.
GACGAACGCUGGCGGCGUGCUUAACACAUGCAAGUCGAACGGAAAGGCCCUGCUUUUGUGGGGUGCUCGAGUGGCGAACGGGUGAGUAACACGUGAGUAACCUGCCCUUGACUUUGGGAUAACUUCAGGAAACUGGGGCUAAUACCGGAUAGGAGCUCCUGCUGCAUGGUGGGGGUUGGAAAGUUUCGGCGGUUGGGGAUGGACUCGCGGCUUAUCAGCUUGUUGGUGGGGUGGUGGCUUACCAAGGCUUUGACGGGUAGCCGGCCUGAGAGGGUGACCGGCCACAUUGGGACUGAGAUACGGCCCAGACUCCUACGGGAGGCAGCAGUGGGGAAUAUUGCACAAUGGGCGGAAGCCUGAUGCAGCAACGCCGCGUGCGGGAUGACGGCCUUCGGGUUGUAACCCGCUUUCGCCUGUGACGAAGCGUGAGUGACGGUAAUGGGUAAAGAAGCACCGGCUAACUACGUG